UGGGGAAUAUUGGACAAUGGGCGAAAGCCUGAUCCAGCCAUGCCGCGUGUGUGAAGAAGGUCUUCGGAUUGUAAAGCACUUUAAGUUGGGAGGAAGGGCAGUAAGCGAAUACCUUGCUGUUUUGACGUUACCGACAGAAUAAGCACCGGCUAACUCUGUGCCAGCAGCCGCGGUAAUACAGAGGGUGCAAGCGUUAAUCGGAAUUACUGGGCGUAAAGCGCGCGUAGGUGGUUCGUUAAGUUGAAUGUGAAAGCCCCGGGCUCAACCUGGGAACUGCAUCCAAAACUGGCGAGCUAGAGUAGGGCAGAGGGUGGUGGAAUUUCCUGUGUAGCGGAGAAAUGCGUAGAUAUAGGAAGGAACACCAGUGGCGGAGGCGACCACCUGGGCUCAUACUGACACUGAGGUGCGAAAGCGUGGGGAGCAAACAGG
Molecule: ribosomal RNA, 429 nt
Filed under: Pseudomonadota bacterium
Lineage: Bacteria; Pseudomonadati; Pseudomonadota
Description: Proteobacteria bacterium partial 16S ribosomal RNA
Rfam family: Bacterial small subunit ribosomal RNA
Source: RNAcentral